GACGAACGCUGGCGGCGUGCCUAAUACAUGCAAGUUGAGCGCUUAAGGUUGGGUCUUGUUCCAACUGGCUGAGCAGCGAACGGGUGAGUAACGCGUGGGGAAUCUGCCUUUGAGCGGGGGACAACAUUUGGAAACGAAUGCUAAUACCGCAUAAAAACUUUAAACACAUGUUUUAAGUUUGAAAGAUGCAAUUGCUUCACUCAAAGAUGAACCCGCGUUGUAUUAGCUAGUUGGUGAGGUAAAGGCUCACCAAGGCGAUGAUACAUAGCCGACCUGAGAGGGUGAUCGGCCACAAUGGGACUGAGACACGGCCCAAACUCCUACGGGAGGCAGCAGUAGGGAAUCUUCGGCAAUGGACGAAAGUCUGACCGAGCAACGCCGCGUGAGUGAAGAAGGGUUUCGGAUCGUAAAACUCUGUUGGUAGAGAAGAACGUUGGUGAGAGUGGAAAGCUCAUCAAGUGACGGUAACUACCCAGAAAGGGACGGCUAACUACGUG
Molecule: ribosomal RNA, 497 nt
Filed under: uncultured bacterium
Lineage: Bacteria
Description: partial 16S ribosomal RNA
Rfam family: Bacterial small subunit ribosomal RNA
Source: RNAcentral